UACGGGGGGAGCAAGCGUUGUUCGGAAUUACUGGGCGUAAAGGGCGCGUAGGCGGCCUUCUAAGUCAGACGUGAAAUCCCCAGGCUUAACUUGGGAACUGCGUCUGAUACUGGGAGGCUUGAGUGCGGGAGAGGGAUGUGGAAUUCCAGGUGUAGCGGUGAAAUGCGUAGAUAUUCGCAAGAACACCAGUGGCGAAGGCGGCUCACUGGCCCGAUACUGACGCUGAGGCACGAAAGCGUGGGGAGCAAACAGG
This 253-nucleotide ribosomal RNA is filed under the name uncultured bacterium. RNAcentral describes it as "partial 16S ribosomal RNA". It matches the Rfam family "Bacterial small subunit ribosomal RNA", at positions 524 to 776 of the family's 1533-position model. The record is from RNAcentral.